AGUGAACGCUGGCGGUGGGCCUAACACAUGCAAGUCGAACGGCAGCACAGUAAGAGCUUGCUCUUACGGGUGGCGAGUGGCGGACGGGUGAGGAAUACAUCGGAAUCUACUUUUUCGUGGGGGAUAACGUAGGGAAACUUACGCUAAUACCGCAUACGACCUACGGGUGAAAGCAGGGGAUCUUCGGACCUUGCGCGAUUGAAUGAGCCGAUGUCGGAUUAGCUAGUUGGCGGGGUAAAGGCCCACCAAGGCGACGAUCCGUAGCUGGUCUGAGAGGAUGAUCAGCCACACUGGAACUGAGACACGGUCCAGACUCCUACGGGGGGCAGCAGUGGGGAAUAUUGGACAAUGGGCGCAAGCCUGAUCCAGCCAUACCGCGUGGGUGAAGAAGGCCUUCGGGUUGUAAAGCCCUUUUGUUGGGAAAGAAAAGCAGCAGGUUAAUACCCCGCUGUUCUGACGGUACCCAAAGAAUAAGCACCGGCUAACUUCGUG
This 492-nucleotide ribosomal RNA is filed under the name uncultured bacterium. RNAcentral describes it as "partial 16S ribosomal RNA". It matches the Rfam family "Bacterial small subunit ribosomal RNA", at positions 29 to 507 of the family's 1533-position model. The record is from RNAcentral.